RNAcentral lists this ribosomal RNA (460 nucleotides) under uncultured bacterium. RNAcentral describes it as "partial 16S ribosomal RNA". It matches the Rfam family "Bacterial small subunit ribosomal RNA", at positions 338 to 795 of the family's 1533-position model. The record is from RNAcentral.
CCUACGGGGUGCAGCAGUGAGGAAUAUUGGUCAAUGGACGAGAGUCUGAACCAGCCAAGUCGCGUGAAGGAUGACUGCCCUAUGGGUUGUAAACUUCUUUUAUAAAGGAAUAAAAAGUGGCACGUGUGCCUUGUUGCAUGUACUUUAUGAAUAAGCAUCGGCUAAAUCCGUGCCAUCAGCCGCGGUAAUACGGAGGAUGCGAGCGUUAUCCGGAUUUAUUGGGUUUAAAGGGUGCGUAGAUGGGUUGUUAAGUCAGUUGUGAAAGUUUGCGGCUCAACCGUACAAUUGCAAUUGAUACUGGCAGUCUCGAGUAGAGUUGAGGUAGGCGGAAUUCGUGGUGUAGCGGUGAAAUGCUUAGAUAUCACGAAGAACCCCGAUUGCGAAGGCAGCAUACCAGACUCAGACUGACAUUGAUGCUCGAAAGCGUGGGUAUCAAACAGGAUUAGAUACCCUAGUAGUG